GACGAACGCUGGCGGCGUGCUUAACACAUGCAAGUCGAGCGACUGCAUUCUUUUCGGAGGGUGUAUGGAGCGGCGAACGGGUGAGUAACACGUGAGUAAUCUGCCUUUGGCUUGGGAAUAACUUCGGGAAAUCGGGGCUAAUGCCUGAUGUUUACUGUCUGCUGCAUGGUGGGUGGUGGAAAGAUUUUUUGGCCAGGGAUGAGCUCGCGGUCUAUCAGCUUGNGGUGGGGUAAUGGCUUACCAAGGCUUUGACGGGUAGCCGGCCUGAGAGGGUGUUCGGCCACACUGGGACU
This 293-nucleotide ribosomal RNA is filed under the name uncultured bacterium. RNAcentral describes it as "partial 16S ribosomal RNA". It matches the Rfam family "Bacterial small subunit ribosomal RNA", at positions 28 to 320 of the family's 1533-position model. The record is from RNAcentral.